CAGUCGCCACGGUAAAACGGAGGGUGCAAGCGUUAAUCGGAAUUACUGGGCGUAAAGCGCACGCAGGCGGUCUGACAAGUCAGAUGUGAAAUCCCCGGGCUUAACCUGGGAACUGCAUUUGAAACUGUCAGGCUGGAGUCUUGUAGAGGGGGGUGGAAUUCCAGGUGUAGCGGUGAAAUGCGUAGAGAUCUGGAGGAAUACCGGUGGCGAAGGCGGCCCCCUGGACAAAGACUGACGCUCAGGUGCGAAAGCGUGGGGAGCAAACAGGAUUAGAGACCCCAGUAGUCCCUGUCUCUUAUAA
This 301-nucleotide ribosomal RNA is filed under the name uncultured bacterium. RNAcentral describes it as "partial 16S ribosomal RNA". It matches the Rfam family "Bacterial small subunit ribosomal RNA", at positions 509 to 809 of the family's 1533-position model. The record is from RNAcentral.